Molecule: long non-coding RNA, 673 nt
Filed under: Coffea arabica (coffee)
Lineage: Eukaryota; Viridiplantae; Streptophyta; Magnoliopsida; Gentianales; Rubiaceae
Description: long non-coding RNA (CARA_LNC005784)
Source: RNAcentral
UCUAAUAGGGGAGGCGUCAUUAUUUUGUUCAUCAUUCCAGCAGUUGAAAGAACAAGUAAAUCUUUGAAUGAGACCUCGCUCUUUUCUCACUCAAAAUGAUGCCAGGAUGUUCACAUUCUUGGUGGGUGGUAAGCAUGAGAAUGUGACUUUUGGUGAGAAGCAAAUUGUCAAGAAGAUGAACAUUGUUUUCUCUGAACUUGAUGACCAAAAAAACUUUUCAUUAGGUGUAAAAUUUCUGAUGGGUUCUGUCUGUCCAAAAGGGUGGGCGCUUAAAGAGGCCCAGUGCAACCUGUAACCUUUGUACAGAUAUUGUUAAUGUGCUUAAUCUGUACCGCUCUAGAUGACCAUUCUUGACGUGUGGUAAGCACGAGAAUGUGACUUUUGGUGAGAAGCAAAUUGUCAAGAAGAUGAACAUUGUUUUCUCUGAACUUGAUGACCAAAAAAACUUUUCAUUAGGUGUAAAAUUUCUGAUGGGUUCUGUCUGUCCAAAAGGGUGGGCGCUUAAAGAGGCCCAGUGCAACCUGUAACCUUUGUACAGGUAUUGUUAAUGUGCUUAAUCUGUACCGCUCUAGAUGACCAUUCUUGACGUGUGGUAAGCACGAGAAUGUCACUUUUGGUGAGAUGCAAAUCGUCAAGUAGGUGACCAUCUUUUUCUCUAAACUGAUGAAGGGCG